CAGUAGCGUAUAUUAAAGUUGUUGCAGUUAAAAAGCUCGUAGUUGGAUUUCUGACUUCAAACACCUGACCCUCCCUCGCUAGAGGUGUGUGUGCCGGAGUGUUUGUAUCAUCCUUUCAGUGAUCGGUUCUACCCUUAACCGGGUCGGAACUGUUAACUGGAUCUUUUACUUUGAAGAAAUUGGAGUGUUUAAAGCAGGCUUACGCCAGAACAUAUUAGCAUGGAAUAAUAAUUUAGGACUUUUGUUCUAUUUUGUUGGUUUCUAGGACGAAAGUAAUGAUUGAUAGGGAUAGUUGGGGGUGCUAGUAUUCGGCGGCCAGAGGUGAAAUUCUUUGAUCCGCUGAAGACUAACUUAUGCGAAAGCAUUCACCAAGGAUGUCUUCUUUAAUCAAGAACGAAAGUUGGGGGAUCGAAGACGAUCAGAUACCAU
RNAcentral lists this ribosomal RNA (429 nucleotides) under uncultured eukaryote. Its description in RNAcentral is "SSU rRNA". It matches the Rfam family "Eukaryotic small subunit ribosomal RNA", at positions 592 to 1018 of the family's 1831-position model. The record is from RNAcentral.